GAAAUAAAUUUAAAAUGAACUUCUAAUUCAUUAUUUAUGGUCAUACAAUCAUAUUAUUUCU
RNAcentral lists this transfer RNA (61 nucleotides) under Pheidole tristis. RNAcentral describes it as "tRNA-Ser". The record is from RNAcentral. Lineage: Eukaryota; Metazoa; Arthropoda; Insecta; Hymenoptera; Formicidae.